CAAAACGUUUUAUUUUUUUUCUUCAAGUGCUACCAGCUAGCAGCUUCCCGUUCCCACGACAGUAGUCUACGUAACCGGAACAGACCGAGAUUUUUUCCUGCCAAGAACUAUCAACUCGACCGAAUUCUGUCGCUACUACAACAACAACACCAACAGCAGCUGAGGAGUUUUUAUGUGGCUCUAUACUUUGGCGAUAAUCGCGGUUGUUUCUCGAGUGAAAAAUUACAAUAUUUGGCAAAAGGAGCAUCAUUCAUUUAAUUAGGAUUUGCCUUUCUGGUAGGCUGCACUACUAUCGGAGCGAUCGUUAAAGAAUUAUGCCAGGUUGUGCACCCUGAGCACAUUCCUCAUCCAACUGAAAAUUUAUUUAAAUCGGUUACUGACUAUUGGAAAUUAUGGGACUUCUCCAUUUGAAUCGGAGUUAUUGAUGAAAAACACAGUAGGAUCAAAUGUCCAGCAACUUUGGUUCCAUGUAUUGCAAUUACAAAAAUGUUUUCAAUAAUAUGUAUUACAAGCCAUAGUUGACGACAACAGCAAAUACAAGUGGGCGGAUAAUGAAAGCAAAGUGAUUGCGGUACAGCUCUUCUCAAAUAUAUUAGCUUUUGAAACAAAACGAUGAUACAAAGCUGGAUCAAUAUAAACUUGCCGUUCAUUUUUCUUGGUGCUGAAGCAUACCCGGUGUCAAAAUGCUUAUUUAAAUGAGCAACUUUCAAGAGCAAGGAAAUGCAUUGAACGUGCAUUUGGAAUAAUAAAUGGUAAAUUUAAUACACUAUGGAAACCGUUUGACAGAAACAGGACUUUCGGAAAUAGAUGUUAAAAGUAUUGGUGUUCAUUACAAAAUUAAUAUAAGGCUAAUAAUAUAUAAAUUUGUAUGCCAAAAUAAACUAGAAUAAAUUGAUUUAAUUUUUA
Molecule: long non-coding RNA, 906 nt
Organism: Bactrocera tryoni
Lineage: Eukaryota; Metazoa; Arthropoda; Insecta; Diptera; Tephritidae
Exons: 2
Source: RefSeq, a predicted model, not a curated record